UACGUAGGGUGCGAGCGUUGUCCGGAAUUACUGGGCGUAAAGAGCUCGUAGGUGGUUUGUCGCGUUGUUCGUGAAAACUCACAGCUCAACUGUGGGCGUGCGGGCGAUACGGGCAGACUGGAGUACUGCAGGGGAGACUGGAAUUCCUGGUGUAGCGGUGGAAUGCGCCGAUAUCAGGAGGAACACCGGUGGCGAAGGCGGGUCUCUGGGCAGUAACUGACGCUGAGGAGCGAAAGCGUGGGGAGCGAACAGG
Molecule: ribosomal RNA, 253 nt
Filed under: uncultured bacterium
Lineage: Bacteria
Description: partial 16S ribosomal RNA
Rfam family: Bacterial small subunit ribosomal RNA
Source: RNAcentral